Molecule: ribosomal RNA, 581 nt
Filed under: Meyerozyma caribbica
Lineage: Eukaryota; Fungi; Ascomycota; Pichiomycetes; Serinales; Debaryomycetaceae
Description: partial large subunit ribosomal RNA
Rfam family: Eukaryotic large subunit ribosomal RNA
Source: RNAcentral
UCCUUUAAGUAAGCCGGCGAGUGAAGCGGCAAAAGCUCAAAUUUGAAAUCUGGCACCUUCGGUGUCCGAGUUGUAAUUUGAAGAUUGUAACCUUGGGGUUGGCUCUUGUCUAUGUUUCUUGGAACAGGACGUCACAGAGGGUGAGAAUCCCGUGCGAUGAGAUGCCCAAUCCUAUGUAAGGUGCUUUCGAAGAGUCGAGUUGUUUGGGAAUGCAGCUCUAAGUGGGUGGUAAAUUCCAUCUAAAGCUAAAUAUUGGCGAGAGACCGAUAGCGAACAAGUACAGUGAUGGAAAGAUGAAAAGAACUUUGAAAAGAGAGUGAAAAAGUACGUGAAAUUGUUGAAAGGGAAGGGUUUGAGAUCAGACUCGAUAUUUUGUGAGCCUUGCCUUCGUGGCGGGGUGACCCGCAGCUUAUCGGGCCAGCAUCGGUUUGGGCGGUAGGAUAAUGGCGUAGGAAUGUGACUUUGCUUCGGUGAAGUGUUAUAGCCUGCGUUGAUGCUGCCUGCCUAGACCGAGGACUGCGAUUUUAUCAAGGAUGCUGGCAUAAUGAUCCCAAACCGCCCGUCUUGAACCACGGAAACAA